GGGACUGCCAGCAUUGGAUUGUGCUGCUGUACAAUGUUCUGGCUGGAGCCUAAUCCUUUCUGUCAAGCUGACUGACUGUGAGCGGAGACUUCAGGAAGUCCAGCAAUUGUAGGAGCGCAGCCAGAGGCAAGACAGAGAAAGAAACAGCAGCAGAGCCUGUCCUAAUGCUUCACGGACACUAUACAGAAGACUGGAAGCAUAUGGUCUUGUGACAGGAUCAGUUCCUAACUCAUGCAGUAGUGCAGAGAAAGCAGCAAGACGUAUUCCUGCCUCCCAGGAAAGCUGUGAGAAUUGGCUGUCACACGGUGUUGGGCAUAGCAGAGGCCUGAAAGAACAUGCGAUUCCCUGGCUUUCUCCUCUUUCUUCAAUAGUAAGCCAGGGAAGAGCAAUGAGAAAUGGACCGCACGUGCCUCUGAGUUUCAGUUUAGUAUACGCCUAACGGCUAAGAUUGUGACAAGCCAUCUGAACCUCUCGGAUGUGACAGGAUUGGAUUGGAAAUCUGCUUAAGCAUCUGAAGAGAAUAGAAGACGUUCUACUUGCCAGUCCAUGUGGAGCUGUUGACCUGCUGCUUCUGCCACUGAUAAGAAAAGCAAGGCCAACUUCUGCUGCCAGAGUCAAAUAAUAUUCACCUCUAAAUAUCAAACAUACUCCCAUCCUGCCUGCUCUGUUUGACAUAAUUCAGGUUUGCCACAGGCUCACUACAUAGCCAUGAUGACCUUGAACUUCUGACACUCCCAACUCCCACUGGGAUUGUGAGCUAUCAUAACAACCUAUAUUGUGAGGUGUUGCGGUUUGAGCCCAGGGUCAUGUUUGGCAAGCACUCUACCAACUAAGCCAUAUCUCUAGUGCCCAGGCAAGCUUUCUCUUGGUCUUGAUCCCACAAAAGUGAAAACAGAGGCACUUCUCUUCAUCUUCGGGAGCAGAUCAAUAAAUCAAGAAUACAGAGGGGCUUGAACACAUCUGAAUGUAGCCAGUAUCCUUGUCAAUGCCAGUAAGAAGGCAGGAUAUUAACAAGGGAUAGAUUUGUGGCUUUGUAAUAUCAGCCAGCAGAGAGAAACCACUUUAAUUUUUUUGGAAAAAAAAAGCCUUAUACUUUAUUGACAAAUGAUUCUGUGAAUAGCUAUUUUAUAUACUUUGCCUAAAAUUGUAACAUGCUUAUUGUAAGAAACCAAACAAUUCAAAGGUGUUUAUUUAUUUAUAGACAAGAUCUGUUCAUGUAGCUCAGGAUGGCUCUAGACUCUGAUCCCCAAAUCAUCAUAUGAUAGUGUUCUAAGACAACAAAUAAGAUGACAACUCAACAAUCAUUGACAUAUAUAGUAAAAUCUUGGUAAUCGUCUCUAGAUAUGUACUGUAUCCACUUACACAUUCUUUCAUCUCUAAAUGAUCACUAACAUUAAUUGAAUAUAUAGUAUAUCAUAUAUAGUUACUAUUUCAUUGUCUCAUCAAUUAUUAAUUCAUAAAAUACCACUAAGGUAUUGAUAUUCUCAGUAUCAUAUUUAGGAAGCAAGUAUCCUAAAAGGCAAGGUCUAUGGGAUAUGAUGAUGUGCUCAGCUUCUGUUAGAGGAGUUGCAGCUAAUGAAUAACUGAGCUGUCAGAAUUGCUUGGGAUACUUAGUGUGAUUAAAUCCCCAAACUAGAAAUAUCAUACAAAGAUAUGUUAUAUCCACCUUGGGUUAAUUCCUUAGAACAGGUCAUGAACGACAUGCUAAUAAAUCCCAUCUGUGUCUAUCCUGGGCAGGAGACCAUGGGCCACAGAGAGCCCAGCAGAAAGUCUCUCUGCAUUGACUCACAGAACCUCCUUCUCUGAGGUCUUGAUGCACAGAUCCCUAGUAUUUGUCAUCCCUUCUCACAGCUUCGGGAAACCUUCAAAUAUUUGAGGUUAGCUCUCAUGACUCCCAGAGAAAUUUCUGAGCAGAUGCAACCAAUACAUUCAAUUGUUCUUUGUCCCUUUGCACAUUUCGGAGCUCCUCAACAAUUUAUUUAUCAAUUUUUACUUUCUCGAGAGAGUGGGGUUGGGGGAGAUAAACUAAAUAUUUAUAAGCAGCAAAAGUGGGAAGCACAUGGGUGAGUUGGUUCUCCUCUCAUGAGGUAAUACAGGAAUAACAGGACUAGUGGACAAGAAGAAGGCUGUGCCCUGGAAAAGUGCCUCCAGAUAGGAAAAAAUAUAGACCUUGAAAAAAACUAAAUAUAGGAUGCAUUUGAACUAGGUUCACCCAGUGAUCUAGAUGCUUCUCAACACAGUAACCAGAACUGACCCCAGAAGUCCAAGUAUCACCCAACUCUCAAAAAAAUUAUUGUUAAUUCCUUAUUGGAAUAACUAUACAUUCAUUAAUGCUGCAAAAAUUCCAUUAACCUUUUAGACUGUGAUAGUCACUUGACUCACUCCAGGCUCCCUGGGAGCUAAAGCUGGGAACAAUUUUUGUACAGUAGUUAUUAGUUGUUUUUCUUGAAUGCAGUUUGGGGAGUCUAUGUUUAUUCUGACUACAUUUCAUGCUGUCAGAUUUAACCCAUCUUGCCAAUCUGUCAAGUCUCUUCUGCACGCUGACUGCCAUCUUUGAAUCCAAUGCAAACAUUGCCUGUGCCAGUUUCAUGCCACCUAUGGUUCUGAUACAUAUGCUUUUUAUUGACAUAUCACAUGCUAUAAAUUGCCUCUUAUAAGAUGUAUGUAUAAUCAACUGGAUGAUAAACAACACUGUGUAGCCAUCACUUCUUUCUAUUUUGAGAACAAUGCUUUGGUUUCUCUAUAGACAGUACAAAUCUCUUACUUUCAGGCCACAUUUUCCUCUUCUUUAUCCCAUUAACAGUCUAAUUCCCCCUACCCAUCCUCAGGCAACUAUUAUCCCACUUUCUGUCUGUAUACAUUUGCCUUUUAUGUACAUAGACAGGUCGCAUAAAUAAAAUUACUGACAUGUCACCUCUUGGUUUCCUUUUCUUGUAGUGUAAUACUUUUAAAAAGUACAGCCAUUAUAUAACAUGUAUUAGAACUUGGUUUUUGAUAAAAUAAUGGCAUACUCUAUAAAUAACCUUUGACUGUUGAUGGAUGCCUUAAUUGUGCCCAUUUCUUACAUGAAGAAUAAUGCAGCUACAUGUAAAAUGAGCAUUAUAUAUAGCUCUGGAUAUAAACACAUACAUAUACAUAUUAUUUUCAUGUGAACAAAUGGUUUUAGUUCUUUAGUUCUGAAGUGAAUGACUGAUCAUAGCAGACUUCUGUUUAAGUUUUUGAAAAUGACAGUCUGCUCUCCAAGUCAGUUUUUCCUUUACCAAUAUGUGAGGGCUUUGAUUUGGAUCAUUUCCACAGAAGCAGUGGUUGUGUUUCUUAUUGAAGUGGCCCUGGUGACUGGGAGGUGGGGUUCAGGUUUUCAUUGUCUCAUGACUAACCCUGCAGUAUCUUUCUCUGUGCUCAUUGACUAUUGGCCUAUCUGCCACUGAGACAUGGCUACCGAAAUCUUUGCCCACAUUUUAAUUGAAUUAUUUGGUUUUGUGAUUAAAUCACAAGAAUGCUUUGUUUAUAUCAUCAGUCCUUGGUCAGAUACAAGAUUCACAAAUAUUGUCUACUAUUCCAUGGGUUUUAUUUUACUUCCUGGUGAAGCACAUGUCUCAAAUGUUGAAAUGUAAACUUGACUAUAUGAUUCCUAUUGCUUAUGUUUUUUGUUGUUGUUCCAAUUUUUACAUUUUUUUUCAUACUAUAUCCUGGUCAUUCUAUCUUCCUCUCAGUUCCCACUACUAUUACGCUCAGAGAAGGAAAACUGGUUUUCUUCAGUGGAGUGACAAUGGAUCUGUCAACCACAACCCAGGGCAGGCUUCAUGCCUGGGAAGAGUUGGUCAGCACAAAAUGUGCCCCAUGGUUUUUCUUUAUUGCCUUUGUUUAUAUUUUUGAUGGCAUGGUCAGGAUGCAUUGCCAAAUCCAAGAUCAUGAAAAUCCUACCUACAUUUUUCUUCUAAUAGUUUUAUAAUUUUAGCUUCUACCUAUAGGUAUUUGAUUCACUAAAGUUUAUUUUUUAUGCAUAAUGCAAAGCAAGGGUCUAACAUAAGGUUUGCAUGUGAUAGACAGUUUUGUAGUUGUCCCAGAACCGGUUGUUGAAAAGACUAUUCUUCCUCUACUGAAUUGCGUUGGCACUUCUGUCAAAAAUGAACUGUCUAUAAAUAUAAGGAUUUAUUUCUAGACUUCUAAUUCUAUUCCAUUUGUAUAUGUCUGUGCUCAUGCUAAUAGCACACUGUCAUUAUUGCUGCAGUUUUAUAAAUUGUGUUACAGAAUCCAGUCAUAGCAAUUUUGAAUAAAACAGGACUGAGUAAAGAGCCCUGUGUGACACAGGAUCAUGAAGCUCAUGAAGACAGGGGUCACAAUUUCUUUGGUUACUAGUACAUUUUUAGUAAAUAAGGUCUGACAUACAGUUAAGCUCUGAAUAAAUAUGUGUUCACUGACAGACUGGUUGCCUGAAUAACGACAAAUAUAAGUAGAAUCAAAUUUCAAUCCCAUAUAAAUCUAUUUGUGAUGGUUUGUAUUGCAUGGGCCAGGGAGUAGCACUGUUAGGAGGUGUGGUCUUGUUAGAAUAGGUGUGUCACUGUGGAUGUGUGGGCUUUAAUAUCCUAGUCCUAGCUGCCUGGAAGUGAGUAUUCUCCUAGCAGCCUUCAAAUGAAGAUGUAGAACUCUCAGAUCCUGCUGUAUCAUGCUGGCCUGGAUGCUGCAAUGUUCGUGCCUUGAUUAUAAUGGGCUGAACCUCUGAACCUGUAAGCCAGGCUCAAUUAAAUGUUGUCUUUAUGAGAGUUGCCUUGGUCAUGGUGUCUGCUCACGGAAGUAAAACCCUAAGACACUACUUAUCUAGAUCUGCUCUCUCUGCUUUCCUCUCUCAUUGUAUCUGCCUGGGACACUAGUAUGGAAGACUUUGCCAAAUGCCUUGAUAAAGGCCCUCUCAUUUGUUGUAAUCCUAGGGGCCAAGAGACUUCAUGUGACAUCCAUCACUGUAGAAUUAUCAAAAACAAUGCCAUUCCUGUCACAGGAAGAACUUCACCUGAUGGUUUAUUUCCACAAAACCUUUGUUACCAGCUUAUAUGAACUGUAAAUUUCACAAGCAAUUACACUGUUUUCAUUUAGUAGACCAGGAGGAAAAGAAGCACUGUUUCAAAAGCUAGUGUCCUGAUUGUUGCUGCCCUUUGCCAAAGAGGCAACCCAGAAAGCGAUGAUGGGGCAAAGGAAAACCUCUGUGCACACCCUUAUGACAGGCAUAACCAAGGGCCUUCUACUUCUGAAAAGAGCAUGGAAGAGUUUCAAAAUGGCAUCAGAUAGGAGUAUUCAUCUGAAGAUGAAAUACAGGCCAGAAAAGACAAGGAGAUAUUCAGUCUUUUUUCAUAAACCCAGUAUUUUCGUAUUUGUAUAAAACAAAUGACAUUUAAAUUACUGGGGAGAGACAUACACAUUCACAUACAUGUACCUGUACACACACACACACACACACACACACACACACACACACACACACACACAUGCACGUACCUGAAAAUGGCAUAUUUCUACAUUUAGUUGAAGUCUGGGGUUUCUCUUUGCAGAGUAGAUCUACACACAAAUACUGACACUGACAUCGACACUCAAGCUAGCCUGUCUUAUGGAAAUGCCCUUGACUGAAAUUACAAGCAACUCUUGUAACAUAGAUAAUCAUUUUGGCCUCAAGUACUAGCGCUGCUUUCAUGUGUAUAAAUAAUAGCCAUCUCCAUUAUCAUCCAAGAUUGCUACACAGGUUAUCCCAUUUAAUCUUUUCAGUUGAGGUGGAUAUUUUUCUUUACUGCAAAAAUGAGACCAUCAAAGCUCAGAGAAGCUAGAAAAAAUUAUCAAUUCAUAAUCAUUGGAGCCAGGACUUAGAACCAGAUCUAUUUGAUACCAAGCUGUAUGACUUUAAUCACCGUGUCAUGAUGCCUCUUAGAAAGACAUAAUGCACGAACAUGUACAUAGGGCAAUCUUAAAGAAAAAGAAGAUGCUUGUGUAGCUGAAAGAUUCCCAAAUAUAAUCCAAUUGCUCUUUCUCCAGCUGCUAGCCCUGGACUUGCCCAGGCCAAAUUUACAUAUUCAUGGACUGCCUGUCUGACCCUCUCACAUUCUCAGUACUGCAUAUUUGGGGUUUGCUUGUUUUGUUUAUGGUUUGUUUAUUUGUUUGUUUGUUUGGCUUCAUUCUUGUUGUUUGUUUGGUUGGUUGACUGGUUUUUACACAGGUCUUCUGAUAUAGCCAAAGAAAAUCUGAGGUCACUCAUGAUCUUUCUGCCUCCUUCUCAGAGUGUGAACCAUCAUGCCUGGUGGAUAUAUUUUUUUAAGUUGUAACAACAAGAAAACUCUACAUAGCAUGUACUCUACCCUCUUAACAUCUUUUCUCAUUGUAGAGUAUUCUUAACUGUAUCCACAAUUGCUGUACAGAUUUCUCUCUAGAAUUUUUUCAUGUUGCAUGACAAUGACUUAGCAUUCACUGAACAAAAAUUUCCAUUUGCCUUCCCCAUAUCCUUGGCUAACUAGCAUUCUAGCCUUGUCUAACUACUAUUCUGCUUUUAUCCCCUGUGACCUGACUCCUUUGGUGCGUUAUGUAAGUAGACUGAGGGACUAUUUGCCUUCUGUGAUUGACUUGAUUCUUUUAUCAGUCUCCCCAAGUCUCCUAGAUGUUAUGACAUGUGACUAAAUAUUACCUUGCAAGCAUCUACUGCAUCUUCUCUGUCCAUUUGCCAUUCAGCAAACACUUACUUGAAUUUGCCAUUACACAAAAAACAAGAGUCAGACAGUUUUUUCAGGGCACUAUUUACAUUUUUAAAAUACAUAUUCAGAAAUUAGUGUCAGCAAUAUGGCGCAGCAGGUAAAGGAGCUUGGAUGUCCAGAACGCACAUGGCAGAGGAAGAGAAGAGAUCCCAGAAGUGGUCCUUUGACUUCCAUAUGUGCACACUCCCGAUAUAAGAAAUUAGUAAAUGUUAAAAAAUAAUAAAUAAAAAUCCAGAAAUAGAAUGGCUGGAUCAUAUUUUCAUGUGUGUAUAUGUAUGUAUGUGCGUGUGCCUGUUUCUCUAGCCAUGUGUCUUAGUAUGCACGCAUGUGGAGGUCACAAAUGAAGGUGUGGGUAUCUUUCCACUUUGUAUUAGUUUAAGUAUAUAGAGAUAUAACAUUUAAGUAUGUGCAGGAGUCUGUGGAGUCUGGAAAUCAGUGUUGAUUGUCUUUUAAAAUUGUUCUUCACACUUAUUUUUGAGACAGAGUACCUUACCUAAUAUUCAUCAAUUCUGAUAGACUGGCCAGCCAGCUAGCCCCAGGACUUCCCUGUCUCUAACUUCCCAUAACUAAAGUUCAAGGCCAGUUUGGAUUACAUGGGGAAAUCCAUUACACACACACACACACACACACACACACACACACACACACACACCUUUUACAUAUCAUAUAUGAGUAUCUCCUUAAAUAAUUUUACAGUAGCCCCUUGUGAAGUUAGUAGUUUACAAAUAAGCAUUCCAAUUUCAUAAACUUCACACUGUUGAUUUUUUUUUUGAUGUUCAUGAGCAGUUUAAUUGAUGCUACAGAUGUCAUAUCUAGGAACCUGUCUUAAGUAUGGUGUCCUUGUGUGUCCCCUCCCACUUUGGGGUUUUAUUUUCCAGUCCUUACUAUUUAAUCUUUACUUUACCUUCAGUUUGUUUUGUCUAUGGGAUAAGGAUCUACUUAUAAAUAGAUACUCAUUUUUUCUAAUGCCGUUUGUAUAUGCCAAAGUUGAUGACUUUUUGGCAUCUGUGUUGAAAAAAAUUUGACCAGAUAAUAUGAGUUUAUAUCUGGGCUUUCCAUUCUAUUCUAUUGAUCUAUACUUCUAUCUUCUUGUACCAUACUGUUUUGGUUACUACAGCUUUGCUAUAUUUGAAGACAACAUGGAGGAUAAAACCUAGGAACAUACAGCAAAUGAUUUAUCAUUGCUAAAAUGACUACACUACCCCAAGUGGUAGACUCAAUCUUUUUCAAAGUCUCAAAAUAAUUUUUUAUUCUUUUGCAGAAAUAAGGUGCAGAACAGGGGAAGAUUAUAGUACUGCUAUGUCUUGAAGUUCGUAUAGAAUCACAAGGGAUCAUAAAUAGUGAAAAAACAGCCUUAUGGAAGAAGAACACAGCUCUAGGCUUUAAUUCCUUGUUUUCUCUUGAAGGUCAGUCCACAACAAAAGCCUAUCAGAUUUUUAUGAAACUCUCGUUGAGUGUAAGGUUUGAAAGAAAAAUUGGAAACCAUUUAAAUAAGUGCAUCCCAGAAACCUAAAGCCUAUUUCAACACUUCAAGUCCACUACAGGACUUAAAUGCUAGGACUAAAAUGCUCAUGGGUCCUAAGUUCAUACACAAACACGCAACCAUGAUGAUAUCAAGGACUUGGAACUGGAGCCUUUAGUUAGAAGGGUAGGAACACAAGAAUGAGGUUAGCACAGAACACGGGCUUUCUCCUUUUCCUGCAGUGACAAUUUUGGAAUUUUGGUUUCUUUAAAAAGCACAGAAAUAUUCCUUUUUAUCCCAGGUGUGGGAUAUGGGACUGCUUCAGAUUGUCUAGAACAGCGAUGAUUUGCUUCAUGCUUUUGCAGGGGUGUGAUUUUGCCAGCUGCAGAUAGUUUCUGCAAUUGUGUGAUGCUUGGAAUUCUAGGGACUUUUCAGAGGGUAUAUAAAUGCUAGGGCCUGGAGAGAUGAGGUCAAUUUUAGCUGCUGAUUGGUUGUUGGUGUCAUGAUUUGUUAAGUAGUUGUGUGCAAAGAAGAAACAAUAUAUAUAUCCUGACAAUAAAGCUCAAACUUACCCCAAGGAACUUGAUGCCUCUAAUCAGUAGAAAGUCACCCCCUUUCUUUCCAUCUUUUCUCUUGUCCAAUCUAGUUUUAGGGACUUGAAAGGGUGAAGAAGGGUGGAAGAAAGAAGAACCCACAAAAUAGCAAAAGAUACUUUCACCAUGUGAGUGUACAGCAAGAAGUCUUAAAUCAGCAUAGUGUGAGCCAUUGAUGAGCCAGGAAAUGGGCCCUCAGCAAACACCAAAUCUACAGAUGUGCUAAUUCUGGAAUUUCUAAAUCUAUGUUGUGUAUAAGCCAUCUAGGACAUAGCAUUUUGUUGCAGCAUCCCAAAUGGACUAAGGCAGAAAGCCAGUUCCCAUCAACCAAUCAAAUCAUCUCUUCAAUUCGUUCCCCAACUUGAUACAGCUCCCAUGAGUUCUAUUCAGGGUAUAUCAUUUCAUCCAUUGUUACAUCUGCUAAGAAGAUGCUGUGCAUUUUUAAGAAUGGUCUCAUACUUUUUUCUUCAAGUUCAAAUGCCUUUUCUCUAAACUGGUUCAACCUGACAAGUCCAGCUCCUAUACACACUCUGACCUAAUUUAGAUCCCAGUGUCCUUAUCUAGCAGCUACAUGUCUCUACACAACUCAUUCAACGAACCCAAAUAUCAGUGUCAUCAUCUAACAGUACAGUUAAACUGUGACACAAAACAAAGUGCAUCUUUGUCCUUUGUUCCUGGUUCCUGGCACAGAGAUCCUAACGUACUUUUUCUGACUGAUUAGGGGGUGUGAAAGAAACAAAAGUUGUUGUUUUUAUUAUUAUUAUUAUUAUUAUUAUUAUUAUUAUACAUAAUUUUCUUCUUUCAAACAUAACUUGGCUUUGCUAAGUAGUUAUUCGUGGAACCGUCAGAAGCUUCGGAAUGAGCAGGAGGAACUAAACAGGUGUUUGAAGGGUGGGAACUUUCAGUCCUUUUUCAACGGUCGUGUAAGAUAAGAGAUGGAGACAAUAGGGUCAAUCAGCGAUGGGCCAUGAUUUAGUCAUUCACAUCUAUGUAAUAGAGCCUCCAUGUGAAUACCCAGGACAGAAUUCAGAAACCAGGGUUGGUGAACACUGGCAGAGAGGAGCAAUUGGAAAGGGCAUAGAAGCUUUGCUUACCCUUCUCUAUGUCCUACCUUGCACCUUGUCUCUUUGUCUUGUCCAUUUUGUUGUAUUGUAUCCUUUAUAAUAAAAUGAGACGUGUAAAUGAAGCAUUUUCUGAGUUUUAUGAGAAAUUCUGGCAAGUUAUUGAACCUUCACAAUGAGUUGUGGGAGAUCCUUUACUCUAGACUCUAGAGAUGGCCAGUCUUACGGUGGUAAGAUUGAGAUUGGCCUGCAGAGUAGGGAGAGUUUAGGGUGCUUUGAGUUUGGAAGCUAAACUUCUGGUAGUUCAUGUCAAAAUUGAAUUGUCUUGUUGGACAUCCAGUUUGUGCCUGGAGAGAUGAAGCACUACUGUUGGUAAGGGAAAGUCCCAUAUAUUUAAUGACAGUAGGCUGUGAGCAGAAACACAUCAUCAUAGCAGUAGAUAUACCUAUGCUAACGGUUUGAUAUGGAGAUUAAAUUAAAUGACACAGAGCCUGACAUAGCUUAUCAAAGACUGUGUGUCAGCUCUUCUUAUUUAUGAACAUUUACGUCUCUGGGAUGUGUAGGUAGUCCCUGCGGUCAGUCAUGUAGUUUUUAUCCACAGUAUCUGUGGCUUUUCAAAACUGGGCAGGAUGUGUGAGACAGUUCUUAAAGAGAAGGAACGUGGGGCUGGGCAAAAGAAGGAAGUAAGAGACAGACCAGGAUCUAGAGAAGAAGUGGAGAGGGACAGACAAGCAAGGUAGAAGGGUAAUUUAAGAUCAAAUCAUUGCCUAUAAUCUCCCAUAAUGAAUUCAGGUCUACCCCUUCAUCCUCCGGGUCCAGGACCAGGGAAUGCAGUCCGUGGAUAGAUCUUGAAGGAAGUAAAUGUAAGAAUAUGCUUCCUGUGACCCCUUGCUAACUGGCUCUCUACCCAUCCCUGAUCCUUUAAGUGACCCAGUCUGAUUUAGGUUCUUAGAGGUCAGAAAGGAACUCAGAUCACUUCUAUGAAUAUGUAAUGAGCCUGUAAGUGCACUUUAGGCAACAAAUCAAAACCACUGUUAGCAGUUACUUCAACUCAGGACUCUUCUCUCUCUGAAAGACCAACUGCCCUUUCAUAAAAACCCCCUUUCUCUGUGGAUCAUACAUCUUACUGUGGAAGACUAUACAUUCUCAUUAAGCAACAUCAAUUCUCAACACAUCUGAUAUACUCUCAGGUGCUUCUUUAAGUAAAAAUUAAAUAAGAAGCAUUAUGUUGAAGAAAAUGAAAGCUGAUUUUAUGUACUCUUUUUCCUCUGAAUACAACUUUCUUACCAGGGUUUUUCUAGUAUAAUUAUAUUCCUGGGAAAACAGGCAGGAAAAGAAUAAAUCAGCAUACAGUCUUUCUUUAAAAUUCUAUUUUAUAUUUUAUGACCUUUACAGGUUGUUAACAAAAUCAAGUCUGAAAUUUUCUACAGUGAACACAAAAUAUUUUCCUUUUUCGUUGACUGUAAAAGGAAAAUCAUAUGUAAUAUUGGUUCAGCUGUAUCUUUUAAACAACGGGGUCAACCACAGGAUUUCAUUCACUCUGAGGAUUUCUACUAACUUAUUUCUUAACGUAGAUGCCGGACACAUAGAUUUUGCUUAACACAUUUUUCUGAAUGAGUAACCAUUAAUAUUAACAAUAAAAACUAAGAAUGUAUGUGAGGUAAGGAAAUGUCAAUCAUUUUGCCUGGCUGAUUUUCCUUACAAAUCCUCCACUGUACCUUUCAUAAAUAGAGCAAAGCCAAUCUCAAGGGAUGCAGGAGCCAUUUUGUCAUUUUGUCAUGUACCUUCAUUCAUUUCAGAGGCACAUUCUUGUUUGUUCAUUAGGAAGGUCAUGGAAGCUGUAAGGGGGAAAUCACAUCUUCAGAUAACAGGGAAAAUUUGAUCACAUGAAUCUUAGUUGACACCUCCAAAGUGCUUAAACUUAAAACAAGAUUUUUCACAUCAAAGGAAAAACCUAACCUCUCUUUUGCAAAGUUAUGGUCACUGAACAAAACUGUACUGAUCUUCCCAAGAACACAGAGUGUAAUGGCUAUUCUUGGUUGUACACUUGACUACAUCUGGACUUAGCUAAAACCCAAGUGGCUGGGUGUUUCAGUAUAUCUGAUCAUACUGUGAACUCCAGGACUGUAUACUGGAUAAACCUGUCUCCAGCUGUGGUGUGACUCGGCUAUGACAUACACUUUUAUAUAAGAGUGCUGCAGCAUAUUUCAUCACAAUGUGAGACUGUGUACUGGAAAAACUGUUUCUAGUUGUGGUGUGGCUCAGCCCUAGCACACACUAUUAAUCCAAGAGCUUUCUGUUUAUUGUAAACAAGAUUAAAUAAAGUCAACCAUAGGUCAAGAGGUGGAGCAAGAAAUCAGUUGACAGAGUGUAAAUAAGAAAAAAAAACAGAGAGAGAAAGAAGUCAGGAGGACAGAUAGAGAGAUGCAUAGGAAGUAGAAAGAAGGGGCAUUCAGUUUGAAGGGUCUUUAAGACAGUGUGGAAAAGGAGAACUGGCUUCUUUUUUCCAUCUGAGAUGUAGGCUGAAGAAGAAGGUCAGCUAGAUGCUUUCUCUUCCUCUCUGAGCUUGUAGCAUCUGGCUCCUGAGUCUUCAUUGGUAAAAUCAAACGAUUGGGAUUUUGUUUUAACAAAACAACAGCUGGGUACAGCAGUGAGAGAUUAUUUUCUUCAUUAAGUCAUUCAAAUUGGGAAGAUCCAGUUAUAAUCUGGAUCUUUUGCUGGAAGCCUGUGUGUGUGUGUGUGUGUGUGUGUGUGUGUGUGUGUGUGUAUGACAUAGAAGAAGGAAGCUUGCUCCAAUGCUCACUGGCUGGUCCAUUUCUUCACUGGCAUUAGAGCUUACUUCUUGGAAAUUCUGGUAUAUACUGAGACAUCUGGUAUAUACUGAGACAGGCAGCUGAGACAUCUAGCCUAGUAGACUGAACAACUACUGGAUUCUUGGAACUUACAUUGGUAGACAGACAGUGUGGGCCUAAUUGGACCACAACCUGUAAGCUAUCCACAUAGAUUAUUUAUAUAUUACACACACACACACACACACACACACACACACUCAUUCU
Long non-coding RNA from Mus musculus (house mouse), 12900 nucleotides. RefSeq annotates it as predicted gene, 37679. Lineage: Eukaryota; Metazoa; Chordata; Mammalia; Rodentia; Muridae. The transcript has 4 exons. The record is from RefSeq and is a predicted model, not a curated record.